RNAcentral lists this ribosomal RNA (468 nucleotides) under uncultured bacterium. RNAcentral describes it as "partial 16S ribosomal RNA". It matches the Rfam family "Bacterial small subunit ribosomal RNA", at positions 28 to 507 of the family's 1533-position model. The record is from RNAcentral.
GACGAACGCUGGCGGCGUGCCUAACACAUGCAAGUCGAACGGAAAGGCCCUGGCUUUGUGGGGUGCUCGAGUGGCGAACGGGUGAGUAACACGUGAGUAACCUGCCCUUGACUUUGGGAUAACUUCCGGAAACUGGGGCUAAUAUCGGAUAGGAGCUCCUGCUGCAUGGGGGGGGUUGGAAAGCUUCGGCGGUUGGGGAUGGACUCGCGGCUUAUCCGCUUGUUGGUGGGGUAGUGGCUUACCAAGGCUUUGACGGGUAGCCGGCCUGAGAGGGUGACCGGCCACAUUGGGACUGAGAUACGGCCCAGACUCCUACGGGAGGCAGCAGUGGGGAAUAUUGCACAAUGGGCGGAAGCCUGAUGCAGCAACGCCGCGUGCGGGAUGACGGCCUUCGGGUUGUAAACCGCUUUCGCCUGUGACGAAGCGUGAGUGACGGUAAUGGGUAAAGAAGCACCGGCUAACUACGUG